Molecule: long non-coding RNA, 2880 nt
Filed under: Homo sapiens (human)
Lineage: Eukaryota; Metazoa; Chordata; Mammalia; Primates; Hominidae
Description: HSALNT0398797
Source: RNAcentral
GGAAGGACAUCCUGGAGUUUGGCCCAUGACAACGGUGGGGAGGAGAUGAAAUAAGCAGGUGCCUUCGCCUUCCAAAGGUCCCGGACAUCCAGUUACAAAAACAAGAGUGCAGAAGCAGCCAGCAGCCUCCCGUGACCUUGAAUCAGAAGGAAAGCGGGAAACAGUGUACACCGGAGGCGCCCAGGAUCUCACUCUAUCGCCCAGGUUGGAGUGCAGUGGUGCAAUCUUGGCUCACUGCAACCUCCACCUCCCGGGUUCAAGCGAUUCUCCUGACUCAAGCCUCCUGAGCAGCUGGGAUUACAGACAUGUGCCACCACACCCAGCUAACUUUUAUGGAUUGGGGACCCAGUUAGCAAUCACCUGUGAGAGAGACCAGGACUGGAGCGGCUUGGACCAGGAUACUCCUAUCAUCGACCUCCUCCCACAGCAAGGAAGAAGCAGAGUUGAGGUUUGAACCUGGUGUAUGGAACCCCAGAGCCGGAACCCUUUAGCAGGGGAGAGGAAGGGGUGAGGGGAGGGGCAGUCACCCAGGGAAAUUGAGUAGAAUUAACUAACCCCUGCUGGGUCCUGGCAGAGCCCCUGGUGCCAGGGCCCCCAGGAGAGGAAGCAGAAAAAAAAAUCACCUCAUGCCACCAGCAGGUUCUUAAAACAAUCUCACCCCUCAAGCAAUAAAGACGGAAGCAAGAAAGUCAAGGCCAGCAUCCAAAACCACAAUUCAGAUGUUCUCUGGUCUGUGGUAUUGGGGUUGAUGGAUAAAGAUCGUAGAUGUGAUAGUGUCCAACAGACAUGGUGGGUAUCAGUCACAGGACAGCCCUCAUGGCACCUGCUCCAUCAGAGUGGAUAUUGGUGGGGAGAGCUGUUGGGUUUAUUUCCUUACUAUUCUUUCCUUUUUUUUUUUUUUUUUUUUGAGACGGAGUCUCGCUCUUUCAUCCAGGCUGGAGUGCAGUGGUGCGAUCUCAGCUCACUGCAACCUCCACCUCCCAGGUUCAAGCCAUCUUCCUGCCUCAGCCUCCCAAGUAGCUGGGAUUACAGGUGCUCGCCACCACACCCGGCUAAUUUUUGUAUUUUUUUUUUAGUAGAGAAGGGGUUUCACCAUGUUAACCAGGAUGGUCUCGAGCUCCUGACCUCAAGUGAUGCACCCACCUCGGCCUCCCAAAGUGCUGGGAUUACAGUGCCCGGCCCAGGCAGGACUAUUUUUAAGACAAUUGAGCAUGAUUUUAGAAGGCUGCACAAUUGACAUUUUGCCUACUUCCACGUUUCGGUACUUUUCCUGAACAAUGUUUCUUCGUUCCCCCUCUCCUAGUAACGGACAUUUACGUUGCUCUGAUUCUCUGCCAUCCCAAGCAGCACCAUGAGGAACAGCGCUAUGCAGGACCUUCUGCGGAUGCACCUGUGCCAGUCUGUCUGGCUGGGGCCUGCACACUCCGAGAAAGGACUGUGCACUCUGAGGAAGGACUGCGCAGUCUGAGGAAGGGCUGAGCACUCUUGUGGAAGUACCGCCCACUCUGAGGAAGGACCGUGCACUCUGAGGAAGGACUGCGCAGUCUGAGGAAAGGCUGCGCACUCUCGUGGAAGUACCGCCCACUCUGAGGAAGGACUGCUAGGUUGUCUCUCUGGAAAGUUUUCUGUUGCCCAUGCGGAGAAUAUUCAAGUUUUGUUUCGGCCUUCCAGAAUUUCCCUCCUGUUUGGGGGGGAUCAUCCUCCACUCCGUUAUACAGCCUCGGAGGCAGACACCACUCGUCAUCGGAUGUCAAACCAAAGCUCCCCCAGGCUUAGCAGGUGUGGGUGCAGGAGGGUGCGGGAGUCAGAUCUCCAUCUAUCUGGUCUCGCCUUGUUUCUAGUCCUUUGCAGGGGUGUUCUUCCAGCAUCCUCCAAUCCAUCCGGGACUGUCCAUCUUGAGUGACACAAAAGAGUGGGGCAGGACAGCCUGGCCGACUGUCCCUCCGAGACCAGACACGGGGUGUGUGUGUGUGUGUGUGUGUGUGUGUGUGUGUGUUGGAGGGGUCCCCAAAGGGGCACAGAAGUCCCGGGAGGCUUUUCAGAAGAGAAGAGAUGGAGCCUGAAUGGGCAAAAGCAGCAGCUGUGCUGUUAGGAGCUGGAGUGAAUACUGUGAGCCCAGACACCUGGGAUGAGAUCCACAGAUGUGGCCCGGUCCCUUACUCUUUUGGUGCCUCAGUUUCCCCAUCUGUACCAUGGGGAUAACAACAGUGCAUGCCUCAUCGGUUGGUUAUGAUGAUAAACAAACUGGAUUUUAAAAAGGUCUGGCCCAGCAGACUCACUCUGUGUUUGCUGUUAUCAGAACCCUGUCCUCAGACCCUGGCCUGACACCACCUCAUACUCCCUCUCAUGCCUCUUAGUCACUUCCUGAAAGUCUGCAGCAGACGACACGGCUUCUCCCAGCCCGUCUUCUUCCCCACACGGUGGGCAUGGUAACGUCCUUAACAUGCACCUGUCAGUGUGAAAGCAGCAGGCUGAGAUCACACACCAAGUUCCCGUAAGUAUUCUGCAUUCAUUACCUUAUUUUUCUUUUGAGACGAAGUCUCGCUCUGUUGCCCAGGCUGGAGUAGGGCAGUGGUGCGAUCUCAGCUCACUGCAACCUCUGCCUCCUGGGUUCAAGUGAUCCUCCCACCUCAGCCUCCGGAGUAGCUGGGAUUACAGGUGUCCACCAUCAUGCCUGGCUAAUUUUUGUGUUUUCAGUAGAGUCGGGGUUUCAGCAUGUUAGCCGAGCUGGUCUUGAACUCCUGAGCUCAAGUGAUCCACCCACCCGAGCCUCCUAAAGUGUUGCGAUUACAGGUAUGAGCCACUGCACCCAGCCUUAUUUAAUUUUCAAAAACAGUCCCUUUUCAGGAGGGGCAUUACUACCAGUCCUGUCUUAGGAGG